AGUUGAGGCCACAAGUCAGUGAAUAUAUUCAGGCCGAGAUAGACAGAUGUUUGGUGUAGAGGGAGUCUGGGUUAUGGGGGAAGACAGGGAAUUGGAGCUGAGUUGAAGGAUCCUGUCAGCCUUGAUGUUAAUGCGUGAGAGAGCAGGCUUGUGAGCUGUAAACACAACUCCCUCUGCGCCUUGUCUAAUGCUUAGUUUCACAGUCUUGUGGCUGUCAGCCAGUGGCC
This is a long non-coding RNA of Amblyraja radiata (thorny skate), 227 nucleotides long. RefSeq lists it as uncharacterized. The transcript has 3 exons. Lineage: Eukaryota; Metazoa; Chordata; Chondrichthyes; Rajiformes; Rajidae. The record is from RefSeq and is a predicted model, not a curated record.